Molecule: ribosomal RNA, 464 nt
Filed under: uncultured Methanomicrobiales archaeon
Lineage: Archaea; Methanobacteriati; Methanobacteriota; Methanomicrobia; Methanomicrobiales
Description: bacterial SSU rRNA
Rfam family: Archaeal small subunit ribosomal RNA
Source: RNAcentral
GCACCACAACAGGUGGAGCCUGCGGUUUAAUCGGACUCAACGCCGGGAAAACUCACCAGAUAAGACAGCUGAAUGAUAGUCGGGCUGAAGACUCUACUUGACUAGCUGAGAGGAGGUGCAUGGCCGUCGUCAGUUCGUACUGUGAAGCAUCCUGUUAAGUCAGGCAACGAGCGAGACCCACGCCAACAGUUGCCAGCUCGUCCUCCGGGAUGGUGGGGACACUGUUGGGACCGCCUCUGCUAAAGAGGAGGAAGGAAUGGGCAACGGUAGGUCAGCAUGCCCCGAAUUAUCUGGGCUACACGCGGGCUACAAUGGGUGGGACAAUGGGUAUCGACACCGAAAGGUGAAGGCAAUCUCCUAAACCCAUCCGUAGUUCGGAUUGUGGGCUGCAACUCGCCCACAUGAAGCUGGAAUCUGUAGUAAUCGUGUCUCAAAAUGGCACGGUGAAUAUGUCCCUGCUCCUU